AUACGGAAGGUCCGGGCGUUAUCCGGAUUUAUUGGGUUUAAAGGGAGCGCAGGCGGCACUUCAAGCGUGACGUUAAAUUUCGGGGCUCACCCCCGUUUUGCGUCGCGAACUGUUGUGCUUGAGUAGGCGGCAGGGAGGCGGAAUUCGCGGUGUAGCGGUGAAAUGCUUAGAUAUCGCGAGGAACUCCGAUAGCGCAGGCAGCCUCCCGUUGCUUUACUGACGCUCAUGCUCGAAGGUGCGGGUAUCGAACAGGAUUAGAUACCCUGGUAGUCCGCACUGUAAACGAUGGAUGCCCGCUGUUGGGCCUUUUGGGUUCAGUGGCCAAGAGAAAUCGUUAAGCAUCCCACCUGGGGAGUACGCCGGCAACGGUGAAACUCAAAUGAAUUGACGGGG
Molecule: ribosomal RNA, 393 nt
Filed under: uncultured bacterium
Lineage: Bacteria
Description: partial 16S ribosomal RNA
Rfam family: Bacterial small subunit ribosomal RNA
Source: RNAcentral